This 159-nucleotide unclassified non-coding RNA is filed under the name uncultured Pleosporales. RNAcentral describes it as "sequence contains ITS2". Lineage: Eukaryota; Fungi; Ascomycota; Dothideomycetes; Pleosporales. The record is from RNAcentral.
ACCCCCUCAAGCUCUGCUUGGUGUUGGGCGUCUGUCCCGCCUUUUGCGCGCGGACUCGCCCCAAAAGCAUUGGCAGCGGUCUUGCCAGCCUCUCGCGCAGCAGUUUGCGCUCGGUGAGGUUCCAGGCGGAUCCGCGUCCACGAAGCCCACAUCUCCAAU